GGCGCUGCCAGCAGGGGCCGCGCGCGGGAGAGGCGCAGCGGCCGCGGGGCUCCGCGCUGCCUGAGGCGGCUGAGGAGCGGCUGAGGAGCGGAUGGGGGGCGGUUGAGGAGCCGCUGAGGGACGGCUGAGAACCCGCCGAGGAGCGGCUGCUGGGGCGCCGUGCGGGGGGCGGUCUCCCCUCAGGUGCCGCGGCGGCGCCGGGAGCCCCGGCGCCCGGCCGGUACGCGCCUCACGCAGCGCGGCCCGGGCGGCAGCGGCUGCCGAGCCUGAGCCAGGCGUCUUUGGGCACUGGGGCCUCCGCCGCAGCCCGUGCCGACGGGAAGCGCCGCGACUGAGCAUUGCAAGAGCUCGGACAAAGGGAGAGGCCUGUCCUGACCUUGGUGUCGGAUGGUCGGGGCAGAGAUUUAAGGUACACGGUCCAUCAUUUCAAAAUGGCAAUGUGCAUUUGUGAGCCUAAACUGUUCCCUGGUCAGGAACUGCUCUUCAGUCUUGAGAUUGAAAUCAGCAUGGUUUUAGGCUGUGAGAAGCUAUCUGCAAAGGAUGGAAUGCAUCAGCUGACAAGAAUCCCCACUUCAGUUUCACAGAGAAGGGAAGUGAGAGACUCCAGAUGAAACAUGUGAUUAAGAAAUGAUGGUAGAAAAUAAUUCAAAAUCCAACCAAUGAUGAAUUCUGUUUAAUACUAGAAAAGCCAGAAAGACACUCUCCAGACCAAAAAGUAUUAAUUAAAGAAAAAAAAAAAAAGAAAAAAA
Molecule: long non-coding RNA, 749 nt
Organism: Vidua chalybeata
Lineage: Eukaryota; Metazoa; Chordata; Aves; Passeriformes; Viduidae
Exons: 3
Source: RefSeq, a predicted model, not a curated record